RNAcentral lists this ribosomal RNA (1284 nucleotides) under uncultured bacterium. RNAcentral's name for it is "bacterial SSU rRNA". It matches the Rfam family "Bacterial small subunit ribosomal RNA", at positions 108 to 1391 of the family's 1533-position model. The record is from RNAcentral.
GAGUAACGCGUAAGAAUCUACCUUUUAGUGGGGAAUACCUUCGGGAAACUGGAGUUAAUACCGCAUAAUCCUUUCGAGGGAAAGACGGCCUCUUUGCUGUCGCUGAAAGAUGAGCUUGCGUACUAUUAGUUAGUUGGUGGGGUAAAGGCCUACCAAGACAGAGAUGGUUAGCCGGCCUGAGAGGGUGAACGGCCACAUUGGGACUGAGAUACGGCCCAGACUCCUACGGGAGGCAGCAGUGGGGAAUAUUGCACAAUGGGCGCAAGCCUGAUGCAGCGACGUCGCGUGGAGGAUGAAGGAUUUAGGUUCGUAAACUCCUGUUACAUGGGAAGAAAGAAGGUUUGUUAAUAGCAAAUCGUGAUGACGGUACCAUGAGAGAAAGCACCGGCUAACUUCGUGCCAGCAGCCGCGGUAAUACGAGGGGUGCAAGCGUUAUUCGGAAUUACUGGGCGUAAAGGGCGCGUAGGCGGCACUAUAAGUCAUCUGUUAAAGACCAUUACAUAAUGAUGGGGCGGCAGGUGAAACUGUAGAGCUUGAGGAUAGGAGAGAGAAGUGGAAUUCUUGGAGUAGCGGUAAAAUGCGUAGAUCUCAAGAGGAACACCAAUGGCGAAGGCAGCUUCUUGGCCUAUAUCUGACGCUGAGGCGCGAAAGCGUGGGGAGCAAACAGGAUUAGAUACCCUGGUAGUCCACGCUGUAAACGAUGAUCACUGGAUGUUCGAUUCCAUCGGGAGUUGAGUAUCGAAGCUAACGCGUUAAGUGAUCCGCCUGGGGAGUACGGUCGCAAGACUAAAACUCAAAGAAAUUGACGGGGGUCCGCACAAGCGGUGGAACAUGUGGUUUAAUUCGACACUACGCGAGGAACCUUACCCGGGUUUGACAUAUAUUCGCAAGUGGUAGAGAUACCAUGUUCAGAGUUUACUCUGACGAGUAUACAGGUGCUGCAUGGCUGUCGUCAGCUCGUGUCGUGAGAUGUUGGGUUAAGUCCCUUAACGAGCGCAACCCUUGUCGUUAGUUGCUAUCCUUCGGGAGCACUCUAGCGAGACUGCCUUGGAAACAAGGAGGAAGGUGGGGAUGACGUCAAGUCCUCAUGGCCCUUAUGCCCGGGGCUACACACGUGUUACAAUGGAAUGCACAAAGAGCAGCGAAACGGUGACGUUAAGCGAAUCUCUUAAAGCAUUUCUAAGUUCGGAUUGGAGUCUGCAAUUCGACUCCAUGAAGUUGAAAUCGCUAGUAAUCGCGUAUCAGAACGACGCGGUGAAUACGUUCUCGGACCUUGUACACACC